GCCGAAAUAGCUCAGUCGGUAGAGCAACUGAUUCGUAAUCAGUAGGUCGCAAGUUCGAUUCUUGUUUUCGGCACCA
This 76-nucleotide transfer RNA is filed under the name Agitococcus sp. RNAcentral describes it as "tRNA-Thr". It matches the Rfam family "tRNA". From Rfam's summary of the family: Transfer RNA (tRNA) molecules are approximately 80 nucleotides in length. Their secondary structure includes four short double-helical elements and three loops (D, anti-codon, and T loops). The record is from RNAcentral. Lineage: Bacteria; Pseudomonadati; Pseudomonadota; Gammaproteobacteria; Moraxellales; Moraxellaceae. RNAcentral also lists the same sequence under 2 other names.